GUCCUGGAACUGGUUAUGGACAAUUUUUGAGCUGCCAUGUAGGUGCUUGGAAUUGAACCCAGGUCUUCUGGAAGAGCAACCAGUGCCGCUAACCACUGAGCCAUCUCUAGAGCCCCUGCUUGGUUUUUUGUUUUGUUUUUUGUUUUUUUCUUGAUCACUGAAAGUUUCUCCGCUCCAGUGACCAGCAUCAAGUAUCACAGCAAAGCAAAGGUUUCAUCUAGUGGCCUGGUAUCUUGUGAACCACAGCUGAUUCUCCAAACCUCACUUAAUCAGAACCACCAGGAAGGAUCUUGGCAAGACCGGAGAGCCUGCUGAUACUCAGGGUCUCCAGUGAACCCAGACUUCAAAGCCUCUGAGGGUGCCUCGGGUCUACCAAGUCAACAUGUUUUCCUUCCCAAGUAGCUUUGGGGUCUCAAGUUUUUCCCAAUGAUUCAAGGAGGCAGAAGGUGGAGCACACUGUGUUCAUCAAGGAACAAACUCUAGUUCUGGAAGAAUAUUUUAAAAGUGCAAGUACCCAACCCAUGAACAAUGCAUGGCACCGGCUCAAGGAUUUGGAUUGAUGGAUCAAGAUCAAGAUCUGGUUCCAGAACUGAUGUGCUAGAGAGUACCAGAAGAAGGCUCAAAAACUACCCGGGAAGCCUGGAUGUGGGACUCAAGAUAGGCCUACAGACCCCAAAGGCUGGGAACUUCCUGUUUCCUCUGCCAGUGCAGUUUCUUUGUGCCAGAAACAUGUGGAAGUCUGCUGUCCUCAACUCAGUCCACCGAGUACCUCCCCAGACCAGGAAUCCAU
This 790-nucleotide long non-coding RNA is filed under the name Mus musculus (house mouse). RNAcentral describes it as "mitochondrial sheath formation associated divergent transcript". Lineage: Eukaryota; Metazoa; Chordata; Mammalia; Rodentia; Muridae. The record is from RNAcentral.